UGGGGAAUUUUGGACAAUGGGGGAAACCCUGAUCCAGCCAUCCCGCGUGUGCGAUGAAGGCCUUCGGGUUGUAAAGCACUUUUGGCAGGAAAGAAAUCGCGUGUGUUAAUACCAUGCGCGGAUGACGGUACCUGCAGAAUAAGCACCGGCUAACUACGUGCCAGCAGCCGCGGUAAUACGUAGGGUGCAAGCGUUAAUCGGAAUUACUGGGCGUAAAGCGUGCGCAGGCGGUUCGGAAAGAAAGAUGUGAAAUCCCAGGGCUUAACCUUGGAACUGCAUUUUUAACUACCGGGCUAGAGUGUGUCAGAGGGGGUGGAAUUCCGCGUGUAGCAGUGAAAUGCGUAGAGAUGUGGAGGAACACCAGUGGCGAAGGCGACUUUCUGGCCUAUAACUGACGCUGAGGCGCGAAAAGCGUGGGGAGCAAAACAGGAUUAGAUACCC
RNAcentral lists this ribosomal RNA (441 nucleotides) under uncultured bacterium. RNAcentral's name for it is "bacterial SSU rRNA". It matches the Rfam family "Bacterial small subunit ribosomal RNA", at positions 355 to 787 of the family's 1533-position model. The record is from RNAcentral.